UCUUGUCUAGGAUAAUCCCUUCAUCUCCUCAUUUCUUUCUUUAAUUUCAAAAUCUCUCCCUCAUUUCAAAACCUUCUUUGUUUGUGUUUUCAAUUUAGACUUGUUUUAAUGAGUAAAAACUUUGGCCUUAUGCCAUUGAUUUUCAAACAUUUUCUUAAUCAAACUUAUAAAUAAACUUAAUCAUAUUGACCUUAUUAAAAAAAG
RNAcentral lists this long non-coding RNA (204 nucleotides) under Lathyrus oleraceus (garden pea). RNAcentral describes it as "Pisum sativum (pea) long non-coding RNA (PSAT_LNC034847)". Lineage: Eukaryota; Viridiplantae; Streptophyta; Magnoliopsida; Fabales; Fabaceae. The record is from RNAcentral.